This 371-nucleotide ribosomal RNA is filed under the name uncultured bacterium. RNAcentral's name for it is "bacterial SSU rRNA". It matches the Rfam family "Bacterial small subunit ribosomal RNA", at positions 29 to 426 of the family's 1533-position model. The record is from RNAcentral.
AACGAACGCUGGCGGCAGGCCUAAUACAUGCAAGUCGAACGCUCGUAGCAAUACGAGAGUGGCAGACGGGUGAGUAACACGUGGGAACCUUCCCUAUGGUUCGGAAUAGCUCAGGGAAACUUGAGGUAAUACCGGAUAAGCCCUUACGGGGAAAGAUUUAUCGCCAUUGGAUGGGCCCGCGUCGGAUUAGCUAGUUGGUGGGGUAACGGCCUACCAAGGCGACGAUCCGUAGCUGGUCUGAGAGGAUGAUCAGCCACACUGGGACUGAGACACGGCCCAGACUCCUACGGGAGGCAGCAGUAGGGAAUAUUGGACAAUGGGCGCAAGCCUGAUCCAGCCAUGCCGCGUGAGUGACGAAGGCCUUCGGUUGU